UGUGGUAUGUGUGUAUGCGUGU
This 22-nucleotide unclassified non-coding RNA is filed under the name Chlamydomonas reinhardtii. RNAcentral describes it as "small RNA Cre_3617". Lineage: Eukaryota; Viridiplantae; Chlorophyta; Chlorophyceae; Chlamydomonadales; Chlamydomonadaceae. The record is from RNAcentral.